RNAcentral lists this ribosomal RNA (301 nucleotides) under uncultured bacterium. Its description in RNAcentral is "partial 16S ribosomal RNA". It matches the Rfam family "Bacterial small subunit ribosomal RNA", at positions 509 to 807 of the family's 1533-position model. The record is from RNAcentral.
CAGUAGCCGCGGUAAUACAGAGGGUGCGAGCGUUAAUCGGAUUUACUGGGCGUAAAGCGUGCGUAGGCGGCUUCUUAAGUCGGAUGUGAAAUCCCUGAGCUUAACUUAGGAAUUGCAUUCGAUACUGGGAAGCUAGAGUAUGGGAGAGGAUGGUAGAAUUCCAGGUGUAGCGGUGAAAUGCGUAGAGAUCUGGAGGAAUACCGAUGGCGAAGGCAGCCAUCUGGCCUAAUACUGACGCUGAGGUACGAAAGCAUGGGGAGCAAGCAGGAUUAGAUACCCCGGUAGUCCCUGUCUCUUAUAC